This 58-nucleotide unclassified non-coding RNA is filed under the name Homo sapiens (human). RNAcentral's name for it is "mitogen-activated protein kinase kinase kinase 14 (ENSG00000282637.1)". Lineage: Eukaryota; Metazoa; Chordata; Mammalia; Primates; Hominidae. The record is from RNAcentral.
AGAUCGCGGGCGAGCGGAGCGCAACACUCGCUUGGUUGGGGAGAUCGGCGCUUGGCCG